RNAcentral lists this ribosomal RNA (259 nucleotides) under uncultured bacterium. RNAcentral describes it as "partial 16S ribosomal RNA". It matches the Rfam family "Bacterial small subunit ribosomal RNA", at positions 99 to 353 of the family's 1533-position model. The record is from RNAcentral.
CGAACGGGUGAGUAACGCGUGAGUAACCUGCCCUGGAGUGGGGGGACAACAGUUGGAAACGACUGCUAAUACCGCAUAAGCCCACGGAUCCGCAUGGAUCUGCGGGAAAAGGAUUUAUUCGCUUCAGGAUGGACUCGCGUCCAAUUAGCUAGCUGGUGAGGUAACGGCCCACCAAGGCGACGAUUGGUAGCCGGACUGAGAGGUUGAACGGCCACAUUGGGACUGAGACACGGCCCAGACUCCUACGGGAGGCAGCAUG